AAUAAAGUGCCUGAAAAAUAGGAUUAUUUUGAUAGAAUAAAAAAUGUAAGAAUUCUUACCUUUAUUA
Molecule: transfer RNA, 67 nt
Filed under: Asicimbex sp. CSCS-Hym-MC0132
Lineage: Eukaryota; Metazoa; Arthropoda; Insecta; Hymenoptera; Cimbicidae
Description: tRNA-Ile
Source: RNAcentral